GAGUUUGAUCCUGGCUCAGAACGAACGCUGGCGGCGUGCUUAACACAUGCAAGUCGAACGAGAAAAUCGUAGCAAUACGGUGAGUAAAGUGGCGCACGGGUCCGUAACACGUGGAUAAUCUUCCUUCGGGCGGGGGAUAACCUGUCGAAAGACGAGCUAAUACCCCAUAAGACCACAGGAUCUUAGGAUCAAGGGGUCAAAGGUGGCCUCCAUUUAUGAGCUAUCACCUGAAGAUGAGUCCGCGCACCAUUAGCUAGUUGGCGGGGUAACGGCCCACCAAGGCUCAGAUGGUUAGCUGGUCUGAGAGGACGAUCAGCGACACUGGAACUGAGACACGGUCCAGACUCCUACGGGAGGCAGCAGUGGGGAAUCUUGGACAAUGGGCGAAAGCCUGAUCCAGCAACGCCGCGUGAGUGAUGAAGGCCUUCGGGUUGUAAAGCUCUGUCGGCUGGGACGAAACAGGGUGACCUAACACGUCAUCUGAUGACGGUACCAGCAAAGGAAGCACCGGCUAACUCUGUGCCAGCAGCCGCGGUAAUACAGAGGGUGCAAGCGUUGUUCGGAAUCACUGGGCGUAAAGGGCGUGUAGGCGGUGGAGUGUGUCUGAUGUGAAAUCCCUCGGCUUAACUGAGGAAGUGCAUCGGAAACUACUCCGCUUGAGUGCGGGAGAGGAUGGCGGAAUUCCCAGAGUAGAGGUGAAAUUCGUAGAUACUGGGAGGAACACCAGAGGCGAAGGCGGCCAUCUGGCCCGUUACUGACGCUGAGACGCGAAAGCGUGGGGAGCAAACAGGAUUAGAUAC
Molecule: ribosomal RNA, 800 nt
Filed under: uncultured soil bacterium
Lineage: Bacteria
Description: bacterial SSU rRNA
Rfam family: Bacterial small subunit ribosomal RNA
Source: RNAcentral